This 468-nucleotide ribosomal RNA is filed under the name uncultured bacterium. RNAcentral's name for it is "partial 16S ribosomal RNA". It matches the Rfam family "Bacterial small subunit ribosomal RNA", at positions 28 to 507 of the family's 1533-position model. The record is from RNAcentral.
GACGAACGCUGGCGGCGUGCUUAGCACAUGCAAGUCGAACGGAAAGGCCCUGCUUUUGUGGGGUGCUCGAGUGGCGAACGGGUGAGUAACACGUGAGUAACCUGCCCUUGACUUUGGGAUAACUUCAGGAAACUGGCGCUAAUACCGGAUAGGAGCUCCUGCUGCAUGGUGGGGGUUGGAAAGUUUCGGCGGUUGGGGAUGGACUCGCGGCUUAUCAGCUUGUUGGUGGGGUAGUGGCUUACCAAGGCUUUGACGGGUAGCCGGCCUGAGAGGGUGACCGGCCACAUUGGGACUGAGAUACGGCCCAGACUCCUACGGGAGGCAGCAGUGGGGAAUAUUGCACAAUGGGCGGAAGCCUGAUGCAGCAACGCCGCGUGCGGGAUGACGGCCUUCGGGUUGUAAACCGCUUUCGCCUGUGACGAAGCGUGAGUGACGGUAAUGGGUAAAGAAGCACCGGCUAACUACGUG